This is a long non-coding RNA of Alosa sapidissima (American shad), 805 nucleotides long. RefSeq lists it as uncharacterized. The transcript has 3 exons. Lineage: Eukaryota; Metazoa; Chordata; Actinopteri; Clupeiformes; Clupeidae. The record is from RefSeq and is a predicted model, not a curated record.
AAGCCUACUGCAUGCAGUGGGUGGACCCACCUUAACUCAUUUCUAGAUCUGAAUUAAAGGACAUCAUAAGCCAUUGUCACAGGUAUUGUCAUAUCAUUUCGCCUGUCCAGACUAAAACUCGACCAUGAAGGACUACAAGCUUACCGUAGCCUGCAUCCUGCUCUUCACAUUUUGCACUGUGGUGCUUAGUCAAAAUGGUAUUUUUCCAGAGAAAUGUUGUUUUAGGUACUACAACAAACCCAUUCCUCCUAGAAGUGUUAAGCGUAUCCUGGCAACCUCCCCUCAAUGCAUCAAGUCAGGGUUCCUGGUCAUCACAAAGAAACGAGGACUGCCACUGUGUGUCAACCCAGACGACCCAACGGUCAGCAAACUGAUGUCUCAAUUCUACUUUCCUGACGCUCAGUAUCCCUGAUGCUCAACCCAACAAAUAAUAUCAGUGCUUUAAGUCCUUAUAGACACUGUGCCUGAAUUUAGGUGUGGAGCAGGCUGCUUAUUUGAAAAUAGAUGAUUAUAUAUGAAGACGUUGAAUGACUUGCAUUAAGCACUAGAUAUCAUAUUAUAUAUGAAGACGUAGAAAUAUACCUUAAUAAUAAUAAUAAUAUAAGCACUGGAUAUCAUAUUAAGCUUCGUCAUAUACCUUAUAGCUCAUGGCCAGCCAAAUUCCUGCAUGACUUUUGCCUUUCAUGUAGUUUUUUAUUUCCUUCUGAUUUCAUUUCUCUGUUUUUAUUUCAUUACAUCUUUCAUUCUCUUUAUAUGUUUUAGACAUUUGUAUCCACUUCUUUCAAUAAAUACGAGAUUCCCACUG